UUAAAGGUUUAGGGAAAAGAAAAGGAUAUUUCUUAACAAGUCACAUGUUGGUACCACCCAUCGGCACACACAGGAGCUGCAAAUACACAUUUACAUGACAACUCUUGAAAUGUGGAAAUCCGUGAUGAAUACAGGAAGAGUGUUUCCGUAAGUACACAUUUCAGGUUUCCAAAUAAGCUCCCAGUUGGUCCUAGAGGCUGCAGAGGAGCCUGUGCUGGUCCUGUGACCACUGCUGGGGACAAGAGGCAAGUUGGCUGAGCACAGAGCCAACGGGAGAAGGGCAGUAUGCCAAACAGUUGGGACCGAGGCACCCCAGCAACAUCGGCCCUGCUGUCCCUUUAAUGAAACGGUUGUGUGGUGGCCGGUGAAGGCCAUCACUGGAAGUCUCUAUCGCCAUAAACCACCAGGGACAGAGCAAUGUGGCCUUUCCACUUCCCUGGGCAAAGCACUGCAGUCGUCCCAGGAGCAGAGCUACUGCUGGCUGCUUCUCUAGGUCGAGAUGGAAUCUACACACAGGCAAAACUGCCCACUACAGGGUACACUUAGAUCUGAAUGUGGACAAACAUAUACCACUGUCUACCACCUCCACAGCAAGGAACAGGACACUUCCAUCUCUCAUGAAGUGCCUUUGUGCCCCCUUGCAGCCCAUCCCCUCCCCAUACAGCCCCCAGCAACCACAGACAUGAUUUUUGCCCCUUUUCCAGGAUGGCAAGGAUAUAUGGAAUACACAGUAUGCAGCCUGGCUUUUGAGACUGGCUUCUGUCACCCACCAUAAUGUUUCUGAGACUGAUCCAUGUUGCUAUCUACGUCAGAAGUUCACUCUUUCUUACUGCUAAGUAGUAUUCGACUGUGUAGGUAUACCACUAUCAGAAGUUCACUCUUUCUUACUGCUAAGUAGUAUUCGAUUGGGUAGUUAUACCACUCUUUGGUUUAUCCAUAUUCUUCCUGCUGAAGGUUGCUUGGGUCAUUUUCAGUUUGGGGGAAUUAUGAAUAAAGAAGCUAUAACGUUCAUCUAUUGGUCUUUUGUGGGGACAUAAGCUUCCAUGACUCUUCGGUGAAUACCUAGGAAUGGAAAUGUUAACUGUACGUUUAACAAAACUGCCGAACUGCUACCCAAAGUGACUGGACAGCUGUGCACUGCCAUCAGCAACGUAUGAGACUUCCCUGUCCUGCAUGCUCCCAGCACUUAGUAUUGCCAGGGUGUUUUGUUCUGUUUUGUUAUUUUUAGCCAUUCUACUUAGUGUAGCAAUAUUGCAUUGUGAUUUUAAUUUGCAUCUUUCUAAAG
RNAcentral lists this long non-coding RNA (1285 nucleotides) under Homo sapiens (human). RNAcentral describes it as "HSALNT0406277". The record is from RNAcentral. Lineage: Eukaryota; Metazoa; Chordata; Mammalia; Primates; Hominidae.